AUCACUAAAAUUAGAAAAGAAAUCCCUAAUUCCCUAACUCAAAGAAACCGGCAGCUUCUCCUCCAUCCCAAUCUCGCCGGCCGCCAUCCACCUCUGUCUAUCUUCAGUCUUUCUAUCGCAAGGGGAUUCUUCAAAUUUCCAGCGCUCCACGACCCACCUGUCAUCAAUCUCGCCCGUUUCAAGAUUUCCGAUUGUUUUCUCAACACACUCUUGUUUCAAGCGAAUGGCAAGCGAGGCAGCGGAAAAAGACCAAGGAGUUUUAGAAGAGGCAGAAAAAGGAGGAUGAGGAGGAAGAGAGAAAGGUUGAUGAAUAUCGCGAAAUUGGAUUGCGCCUCAAGAAUUAUGGCGACGAAGAUGGAUGGCGGCCAACGAGAUUUGGUGAAAUUUGGAUUCGCUUUAAAAAUUAUGGGGAAAAUAAAAUUUGGGCAAAGUUUGUGAUAUUUGGUAUAAUAAAAAAAUGCAACUUUUUCAG
Long non-coding RNA from Salvia miltiorrhiza (redroot sage), 472 nucleotides. RefSeq lists it as uncharacterized. The transcript has 2 exons. Lineage: Eukaryota; Viridiplantae; Streptophyta; Magnoliopsida; Lamiales; Lamiaceae. The record is from RefSeq and is a predicted model, not a curated record.